RNAcentral lists this ribosomal RNA (735 nucleotides) under uncultured Thiomonas sp. RNAcentral describes it as "bacterial SSU rRNA". It matches the Rfam family "Bacterial small subunit ribosomal RNA", at positions 28 to 763 of the family's 1533-position model. Lineage: Bacteria; Pseudomonadati; Pseudomonadota; Betaproteobacteria; Burkholderiales. The record is from RNAcentral.
GUGGAACGCUAGCGGCAUGCUUUACACAUGCAAGUCGAACGGCAGCGCGGGGUAACCUGGCGGCGAGUGGCGAACGGGUGAGUAAUACAUCGGAACGUGCCCUGUGAUGGGGGAUAACUACGCGAAAGCGUAGCUAAUACCGCAUACGACCUAAGGGUGAAAGUGGGGGAUCGAAAGACCUCAUGUCAUAGGAGCGGCCGAUGGCGGAUUAGCUAGUUGGUGAGGUAAAGGCUUACCAAGGCAACGAUCCGUAGCUGGUCUGAGAGGACGACCAGCCACACUGGGACUGAGACACGGCCCAGACUCCUACGGGAGGCAGCAGUGGGGAAUCUUGGACAAUGGGGGCAACCCUGAUCCAGCAAUGCCGCGUGUGGGAUGAAGGCCUUCGGGUUGUAAACCACUUUUGGCGGGGGCGAAAUAUCGAGUGCUAAUACCAUUCGGUGAUGACGGUACCCGCAGAAUAAGCACCGGCUAACUACGUGCCAGCAGCCGCGGUAAUACGUAGGGUGCAAGCGUUAAUCGGAAUUACUGGGCGUAAAGCGUGCGCAGGCGGUUAGGUAAGACAGAUGUGAAAUUCCCGGGCUCAACCUGGGAACUGCAUUUGUGACUGCCUGACUAGAGUGCGGCAGAGGGGAGUGGAAUUCCGCGUGUAGCAUGAAAUGCGUAAUAUGCGGAGGAACACCGAUGGCGAAGGCAACUCCCUGGGCCUGCACUGACGCUCAUGCACGAAGCGUG